ACUAAUUUUGUUUUCUUGUAAACUCCGAUAGAAUGAUUCAUAAGAUUGACUAUAAAACAUGUUUGAAUGGCCAUGACAAAGUAUU
This 85-nucleotide microRNA precursor is filed under the name Schmidtea mediterranea. RNAcentral's name for it is "microRNA sme-mir-751 precursor". Its record names the gene sme-mir-751. Lineage: Eukaryota; Metazoa; Platyhelminthes; Tricladida; Dugesiidae. The record is from miRBase by way of RNAcentral.